RNAcentral lists this ribosomal RNA (253 nucleotides) under uncultured Acinetobacter sp. RNAcentral describes it as "partial 16S ribosomal RNA". It matches the Rfam family "Bacterial small subunit ribosomal RNA", at positions 524 to 776 of the family's 1533-position model. Lineage: Bacteria; Pseudomonadati; Pseudomonadota; Gammaproteobacteria; Moraxellales; Moraxellaceae. The record is from RNAcentral.
UACAGAGGGUGCGAGCGUUAAUCGGAUUUACUGGGCGUAAAGCGUACGUAGGCGGCUUUUUAAGUCGGAUGUGAAAUCCCUGAGCUUAACUUAGGAAUUGCAUUCGAUACUGGGAAGCUAGAGUAUGGGAGAGGAUGGUAGAAUUCCAGGUGUAGCGGUGAAAUGCGUAGAUAUCGGGAGGAACAUCAGUGGCGAAGGCGGCACUCUGGACUGAUACUGACACUGAGGUGCGAAAGCGUGGGUAGCGAACAGG